Picea glauca (white spruce) is the source of this 119-nucleotide non-coding RNA. Lineage: Eukaryota; Viridiplantae; Streptophyta; Pinopsida; Pinales; Pinaceae. The record is from Rfam.
UAUUAUGUACAUGCCUAUAGUGUUAAUGCAUUAGAUCCCAUCAAAACUCCACAAUUAAGUGCGCUUGGGAUAGAGUAGUCCUAGGAUGGGUGACCUCCUUGGAAGUUCUUGUGUUUUAC